GUAAAGUUCAAUAGGGAUGGUGAAAAGGGAGAUUUCCUGGCCCAAAUCUACCUCCUAUAAGUCCCAUCCGUCCUUCUCUAUGUCCUUCAUGUCCAGGGAGGUUGAAACAUUGAACUGGUGCCUGCAUGACACCCUUUGCUACUCACCCUCUUUUCCUGGUUUUCUAUAUCCAAAGUCCUAAAGAGACUACAAUUUCUAUGAGUGGGCAGCCACAGCUUCACAGGCCUUAAUGAGCAUCUUUGCCCAUUAAGGUCCCACUACUACCACCACUACUCCCCCACUGUCUCUGAGCCCACCUUGCCAGGAGGAGACACAUGAUGGCUCAGAAGCCAUGGAAAGCUGGUAUUGGUGGCCAGGAGGCUGGUAGGAACCAGGGCAGCCCUAUAGCACGAUGUUCCAGGGCUUCUCAAGAGCUGGGGAGUAUUGAUGAGGCACAGACUGGCCCUCUGGAGUCCACAGGGUGAGGGAGCAAAUACAGUGGCAGGCAUCCAGGAGGCAGAAUUGUAGGGGCGUUGAUGAACUUGGGCACUGUAUUAGUCCAUUUUCAUGCUGCUGAUAAAGACAUAGCUGAGACUGGGCAAUUUAAAAAAGAAACAGGUUUACUGGACUUACAGUUCCACGCGGCUGGGGAGGCCUCACAAUUAUGGCAGAAGGUGGAAGGAGUGUCUCACAUGGCGGCGGCAAGAAGGAGAAUAAGAGCCAAGCAAAACGGGUUUUUCCUUAUGGAGACUUAUUCACUACCACAAGAGCAGUACAGGGGAAACCGUCCCCAUGAUUCAAUUAUCUCCCACUGGGUCCCUCCCACAACAUGUGGGAAUUAUGGAAGUAAAAUUCAAGAUGAGAUUAGGGUGGGGACACAGAGCCAAACCAUAUCUGGCACCAACAAACAGAUGCCAUCCCAUAGCUCUGUGCCAGGAUUAAUUUAGUCCUUACACUGUGGAUGAUCGAGAAAUUUAAAGGAUCCCAAGUGAGAAGACAGAAUAGACAGGGCAAAAAUGGGGUAUUUAAGGGUUCUGAGACAGGGUUUACUUACCAUAUGGAAUGAAAGUAUUCAACUUUCCAACAAUUAGUAUGGCUGUACCAGUACAUAUCUGAUGAAUUUCAGCCUUAUAUAAAUUUCUGUUUUGCAGUCUUCAGUGUCUAGUGGAUACUGAAGAUUGGCUCACUCAACAUGCAUUCUAAUACAUUUCUAGUAUUUGUGUUAUUUUGUAUCACACUAACCUGUAGCUAAAAACUACAUUUCCCAGACUCCUGUGCAGCUAUCUUGCAUUUAGGGUUCCAUAUAUAAUUUUGGCCCUCCAGUCAGCUAAACUUGCACAAGAUUUUGAAUCAGAACUAAAUUCUGCCAGGCACAGUCGCUCACACCUGUAAUCCCAGCACUUUGGGAGGCUAAGGCAGGAAGAUUGCUUGAGCCUAGGAGUUCGAAUCUGCAGUGAUCAUGCCACUGCACUCCAGCCUGAGAAAUAAAACAAGACUCUGCCUCUAAAAAAAUUUUUUUAAAACAAGAACUAAGUUCUGAGGAGAGAGAUACAGUGUGAGACACUGAAGUCCAAGUCCAAGAUAAUCACAAGCACACUUUGUCCUAGAUUUAGUUAAAACUAACAUAAGGGAAUGCAUUAGAAUUAUGAAAAUAAUUCUUUGUGCAAGAAAUUAAGGGUAAGCCAUAUGGGCUUUUUCUUACUAGAUACCAUAGUUCCCCC
Molecule: long non-coding RNA, 1700 nt
Organism: Macaca fascicularis (crab-eating macaque)
Lineage: Eukaryota; Metazoa; Chordata; Mammalia; Primates; Cercopithecidae
Source: Ensembl